Molecule: long non-coding RNA, 419 nt
Filed under: Capsella rubella
Lineage: Eukaryota; Viridiplantae; Streptophyta; Magnoliopsida; Brassicales; Brassicaceae
Description: long non-coding RNA (CRUB_LNC001595)
Source: RNAcentral
GCUUAAAUGCAGGCCAAGUCGUCUCUCACGUACGUAUUGAGAUUUGAGAGAAUAAAAUUUGUAAAAUGAAAAAUAUUACAAGAGGUUUUUUUGAGAAUAAUUUCAAUUUUUUUUCAGUUUCAUUUUUUUUUUCUUUUUAACGCCUUGCUUUUAUAUUAAAAUCAAACUGUGUCAUACAAAUAGUUAAUAAGCCACAGAGGUGGUACUGUAAAAGAGUUUGGAACAAAGAAUUAGAAGAAAAAGCCCUUUUGUGCUAACUUGUCGGCAGCAGCAUUUUGAUCCCUUCGAACAGGAGCAAGAGAGCAAGUAGGGAAGCCUCAUCAUCCAGUAUCGUAUGUCAAUAAGUAAAGUACCAAUAUGAUUAUGAUCACCACCUGAAUUAAUCAAAUUAGUUUAGUUCUUUGUUAUCUCCUUCAAAC